Molecule: non-coding RNA, 250 nt
Organism: Chelonoidis abingdonii (Abingdon island giant tortoise)
Lineage: Eukaryota; Metazoa; Chordata; Testudines; Testudinidae
Source: RefSeq, a predicted model, not a curated record
GUGGUUCCAAGUAAUAACAGGCAGAACAAAGUAAUUUACCAAGCAAAAUAAAACAAAACACACAAGUUUAACCCUAGUACAUUAAGAAACUGACCACAGAUAAAUCUCGCCCUCAGAGAUGUUCCAAUAAGCUUCUUUCACAGACUAGACUCCUUCCUAGUCUGGGCCCAAUCCUUUCCCCUGGUCCAAUCCUUGUUAGUUCCAGCUCAGGUGUUAACUAGGGGAUUUCCCAUGAGGGCUGCCCUGCAGA